RNAcentral lists this ribosomal RNA (253 nucleotides) under uncultured bacterium. Its description in RNAcentral is "partial 16S ribosomal RNA". It matches the Rfam family "Bacterial small subunit ribosomal RNA", at positions 524 to 776 of the family's 1533-position model. The record is from RNAcentral.
UACGUAGGUGGCAAGCAUUAUCCGGAUUUACUGGGCGUAAAGGGUGCGUAGGCGGAUUUUUAAGUGGGAUGUGAAAUACCUGGGCUUAACUUGGGUGCUGCAUUCCAAACUGGGAAUCUAGAGUGUGGGAGAGGAAAGUGGAAUUCCUAGUGUAGCGGUGAAAUGCGUAGAGAUUAGGAAGAAUAUCCGUGGCGAAGGCGGCUCUCUGGGACGGUACUGACGCUGAGACGCGAAAGCGUGGGGAGCGAACAGG